RNAcentral lists this ribosomal RNA (255 nucleotides) under uncultured bacterium. RNAcentral's name for it is "partial 16S ribosomal RNA". It matches the Rfam family "Bacterial small subunit ribosomal RNA", at positions 524 to 776 of the family's 1533-position model. The record is from RNAcentral.
GACAGAGGGUGCAAACGUUGUUCGGAAUUACUGGGCGUAAAGCGCGUGUAGGCGGCCCUGCAAGUCGGAUGUGAAAUCCCACGGCUCAACCGUGGAAGUGCAUUCGAAACUGCAGGGCUAGAGUCCUGGAGAGGAAGGUGGAAUGCUUGGUGUAGAGGUGAAAUUCGUAGAUAUCAAGCGGAACACCGGUGGCGAAGGCGGCCUGCUGGGCAGUUUUGCUGACACUGAGGCGCGACAGCGUGGGGAGCAAUCAGG